Molecule: ribosomal RNA, 253 nt
Filed under: uncultured bacterium
Lineage: Bacteria
Description: partial 16S ribosomal RNA
Rfam family: Bacterial small subunit ribosomal RNA
Source: RNAcentral
GACGUAGGAGGCGAGCGUUAUCCGGAUUCACUGGGCGUAAAGCGCAUGUAGGCGGCUCGGCAAGUCGUGUGUGUAAGCCCCUGGCUCAACUGGGGGAGGUCAUGCGAGACUGGCGGGCUUGAGGACAGCAGAGGAGCGUGGAACUCCCGGUGUAGCGGUGGAAUGCGUAGAGAUCGGGAAGAACACCAGUGGCGAAGGCGGCGCUCUGGGCUGUGUCUGACGCUGAGAUGCGAAAGUGUGGGGAGCAAACGGG